GGCCGCCUGGCGAAAUGGCAUCGCGUCUGACUACGAUUAACCGGAAUCAGGAGAUUGCAGGUUCGACCCCUGCGGUGGUCA
Non-coding RNA from Rhizopogon salebrosus TDB-379, 81 nucleotides. NCBI's taxonomy places the organism in Eukaryota, Fungi, Basidiomycota, Agaricomycetes, Boletales, Rhizopogonaceae. The record is from the annotation of a GenBank genome assembly.